Molecule: ribosomal RNA, 481 nt
Filed under: uncultured bacterium
Lineage: Bacteria
Description: partial 16S ribosomal RNA
Rfam family: Bacterial small subunit ribosomal RNA
Source: RNAcentral
GAUGGACGCUGGCGGCGUGCUUAACACAUGCAAGUCGAACGAAGCAUUUGCGACAGAUUUUUUCGGAAUGAAGUUGCUUAUGACUGAGUGGCGGACGGGUGAGUAACGCGUGGGUAACCUGCCUUGUACUGGGGGAUAGCAGCUGGAAACGGCUGGUAAUACCGCAUAAGCGCACAAUGUUGCAUGACAUGGUGUGAAAAACUCCGGUGGUAUAAGAUGGACCCGCGUCUGAUUAGCUAGUUGGUGAGAUAACAGCCCACCAAGGCGACGAUCAGUAGCCGACCUGAGAGGGUGACCGGCCACAUUGGGACUGAGACACGGCCCAGACUCCUACGGGAGGCAGCAGUGGGGAAUAUUGCACAAUGGAGGAAAAUCUGAUGCAGCGACGCCGCGUGAGUGAAGAAGUAAUUCGUUAUGUAAAGCUCUAUCAGCAGGGAAGAUAGUGACGGUACCUGACUAAGAAGCUCCGGCUAAAUACGUG